Molecule: small RNA, 28 nt
Filed under: Bombyx mori (domestic silkworm)
Lineage: Eukaryota; Metazoa; Arthropoda; Insecta; Lepidoptera; Bombycidae
Description: ovarian small RNA-18405
Source: RNAcentral
UAAAGUCGUCAUCGGGUGCGUCCAACAA